UAUUCUCUUACUCUAAAUUAUGCAGCAAUAUAGUUUAUCAUAUACUACCAUUAUCAUUGAGUAAAUUAGUGUCAGUUACCACCUCUAGAAUACCACCAACACUCCAACACAGAAAAUAUCUAAUCUCUUGCUGUAACAGAAAAUAAUUUCAUCCUAACCUUCAAAUUGUUAGGCCACGCUUUGCAAGACUAUCAGAACCUCAAAACUUGAUUGAUACCAUUGAUCAAUACCGAGUAUCU
This 239-nucleotide long non-coding RNA is filed under the name Trifolium pratense (red clover). Its description in RNAcentral is "long non-coding RNA (TPRA_LNC011100)". The record is from RNAcentral. Lineage: Eukaryota; Viridiplantae; Streptophyta; Magnoliopsida; Fabales; Fabaceae.